GGCAGGGGGCUAUCUGCAGUCGAACGCUUUGUGCUUAAUUGAUAUGACGAGCUUGCUCUGAUUUGAUUUUUUGAUUUCAAAGAGUGGCGAACGGGUGAGUAACACGUGGGUAACCUACCUCUUAGCAGGGGAUAACAUUUGGAAACAAGUGCUAAUACCGUAUAAUACCAACAACCGCAUGGUUGUUGGUUGAAAGAUGGUUCUGCUAUCACUAAGAGAUGGACCCGCGGUGCAUUAGCUAGUUGGUAAGGUAAUGGCUUACCAAGGCAAUGAUGCAUAGCCGAGUUGAGAGACUGAUCGGCCACAAUGGGACUGAGACACGGCCCAUACUCCUACGGGAGGCAGCAGUAGGGAAUCUUCCACAAUGGGCGCAAGCCUGAUGGAGCAACGCCGCGUGUGUGAUGAAGGGUUUCGGCUCGUAAAACACUGUUAUAAGAGAAGAACGGCACUGAGAGUAACUGUUCAGUGUGUGACGGUAUCUUACCAGAAAGGAACGGCUAAAUACGUGCCAGCAGCCGCGGUAAUACGUAUGUUCCAAGCGUUAUCCGGAUUUAUUGGGCGUAAAGCGAGCGCAGACGGUUAUUUAAGUCUGAAGUGAAAGCCCUCAGCUCAACUGAGGAAUUGCUUUGGAAACUGGAUGACUUGAGUGCAGUAGAGGAAAGUGGAACUCCAUGUGUAGCGGUGAAAUGCGUAGAUAUAUGGAAGAACACCAGUGGCGAAGGCGGCUUUCUGGACUGUAACUGACGUUGAGGCUCGAAAGUGUGGGUAGCAAACAGGAUUAGAUACCCUGGUAGUCCACACCGUAAACGAUGAGUGCUAGAUGUUCGAGGGUUUCCGCCCUUGAGUGUCGCAGCUAACGCAUUAAGCACUCCG
RNAcentral lists this ribosomal RNA (873 nucleotides) under Weissella hellenica. RNAcentral's name for it is "bacterial SSU rRNA". It matches the Rfam family "Bacterial small subunit ribosomal RNA", at positions 1 to 871 of the family's 1533-position model. Lineage: Bacteria; Bacillati; Bacillota; Bacilli; Lactobacillales; Lactobacillaceae. The record is from RNAcentral.